This 73-nucleotide transfer RNA is filed under the name Stegodyphus mimosarum. It matches the Rfam family "tRNA". Rfam says of the family: Transfer RNA (tRNA) molecules are approximately 80 nucleotides in length. Their secondary structure includes four short double-helical elements and three loops (D, anti-codon, and T loops). The record is from Rfam by way of RNAcentral. Lineage: Eukaryota; Metazoa; Arthropoda; Arachnida; Araneae; Eresidae.
ACCUUUGUGGUAUAAUGGCUAGCACACUCGGCGCGUAUUCGAGAGGUCCAUGGUUCGAGUCCUGGCGAGGGCG